CCCGCUGUCGCCGCGCGAUAGGGCGCGGGCGCGGCGCGGCCCAUGGCGCUGUCGCUGCCCGACGCCGUGGCGGUGCUGGCCGCCCUGGCCGCCCUUCUCUUCCUCCUGAUUUGUAUGAUUGCUCAUGUAACUGCCAGAAAAAUGCCAACCCUCCCCCAACAUAAAGAAGAGAAAUUCUUCAUAAAUGCUGAAGGCAGGAAAGAAUCUGUACCAAGUAUACAUGAUCCACCUACAAGGGAACUCUCCGUUGUUGUGCCUUCGUACAACGAGGAAGACCGGUUACCUCUUAUGAUGGAUGAAGCUUUGGAUUACCUAGAAAAAAGACAGAAACGAGAUCCUUCGUUCACUUAUGAAGUAAUAGUGGUCGAUGAUGGUAGUAAAGAUCAAACUACGAAGGUUGCAAUGAAGUACUGCAAGAAAUAUGGAAGCGACAAAGUGCGAGUGCUUUCUUUGGUAAAAAAUCGAGGGAAAGGAGGAGCAGUCAGGAUGGGUGUCUUUAGUUCUCGGGGAAAAAAAGUUCUUAUGGCUGAUGCAGAUGGAGCUACAAAAUUUGCAGAUAUUGAAAAAGUAGAAGAAGGUCUACAAAAUCUUCAGCCGUGGCCUUGCCAGAUGGCUAUUUCCUGUGGUUCUAGAGCUCAUCUGGAGAAGGACUCGAUAGCAAAGCGCUCUUACUUUCGAACUCUCCUCAUGUACGGGUUCCACUUCCUUGUAUGGUUUCUCUGUGUCAAAGGGAUCAGGGACACGCAGUGCGGAUUUAAACUUUUAACCAGAGAAGCUGCCUCGCGGACCUUCUCAACUCUUCAUAUAGAACGCUGGGCGUUUGAUGUGGAACUUCUUUAUAUAGCUCAGCGCUUGAGAAUACCUAUAGCAGAAGUUGCUGUCAACUGGACUGAAAUUGAAGGUUCUAAAUUAGUUCCCUUUUGGAGCUGGCUGCAGAUGGGCAGGGAUCUUCUUUUUAUACGACUGCGAUAUAUGACUGGUGCCUGGCAGCUUGAAACAAGAAAAUGUAAUUAGGUUAUUUACAUUUUCCAAAUAUAUUAUUAUACUUAAUGGAACAUGAGAACAGCUUCAAUCAAGUGAAGUGGUGAUGAAAGCUGAGGUGUAACCCGUGGAGAUGCAAGUCUUCUAGAUUGCUCACUGUCCUGCAUGAUCCAGCCCUCUAAAUACACAUCAAAACAAAGUAAUCUCACAGGCUUUGAAAAGGAAAUAAAAACAAAUAGAGAAGAUCUACACGGCAAUCCUGCAAUGCUUACCAACACCAAUGCCUGCAUAGUUAGUGCUUUCAAAAAUACAGAUUUAAAUUUAAAAAAAAAAAAAAUUUAUAUCUCUCCAUAAAAAACUUCUUUUUCUGCAACACUUUACUAACACUUCAUAAGAGACUUUUUCAAUAGGCUACGUAACAUUAGAGUUCUCUUUGAAAAACACUGGCAAAAAAACAAGCUACUGAAAAAGGUUCAGUAGUUUACACAAGUUUUCUUCACUGUUACCAUUUCUUAUCACAAGCUGAAGCAAUAGCAAUGCAAAAUCCCCUGAUACACACUUAGCUUUUAUACUUACAAGCCAUUUUUCACAUAUGAAUUAGAAAAAAACAGUGAAGAUUCUCUCUUUCUACCCUCAGGUGUGUCCUGCCGAUGAGCAGUGUGUUUUCUGUGACAACUCUAGGAGUUAAGUUAGUAUUCCUAACUGUUUUCAGUGACACUGCAGCAUUAUCCCAAAGCAGGGUAACUCUUCAAUGAGUAAUAACACAGCUUUCAUCAGUCUCAAUCUAUACAAAAGUACUCGGAGAUCACUACUAUGAAGUAGCAGCAGCCAGACACAGACGACAGCUCCAGUUCAUUCUGCAGAAUUGUGUUCAGUAACACAUCAGUUUACAAGUCUCAGAGCCUCUGUGCAGACCCUUCCACCACCACCAAUGCAGAAGAGUCCAGGGUAGUUUUUCACCAUGGGAAAUGAAAUUGUAUUAUUAUAUGUAAGCACAGCAACAUCUCCCAGCCAUUGAAUAGUCUCAGCCAGUAUUUAACUUGAAUCCUCUGCUAACAUUGAAGGCUCUGGAGACCUAUCCAUAAUUAUUUAUGUACCUAUUGUACAAGUGUUCCUUGAGUUCACAGUCAAAUGCUGACUGCAAACUAAAAAUAGUCGAAAUGAAGAGACAGGCAAAGACAGAAGGCUGCAAUGAAGUUUCUGUAUCUCAGUGUUUAUUACUUAAAAUAACAUCUAACCUUAUUUAUGAUCCAUGUAUGUUUCUUAGGGAUGCAGUGGCAUGUCUGUUAUAGCUCAAGGGGCAUGAAUUAAAGUAGUGUUCCAGUACUGUUGAAGGCUGCACCCUGCCAGCUGAACC
Tyto alba (common barn owl) is the source of this 2338-nucleotide RNA transcript. It is a transcript of the gene named ALG5 dolichyl-phosphate beta-glucosyltransferase, with no coding region annotated. Lineage: Eukaryota; Metazoa; Chordata; Aves; Strigiformes; Tytonidae. The record is from RefSeq and is a predicted model, not a curated record. The transcript is spliced from 11 exons.